RNAcentral lists this ribosomal RNA (465 nucleotides) under uncultured bacterium. Its description in RNAcentral is "partial 16S ribosomal RNA". It matches the Rfam family "Bacterial small subunit ribosomal RNA", at positions 28 to 507 of the family's 1533-position model. The record is from RNAcentral.
GACGAACGCUGGCGGCGUGCUUAACACAUGCAAGUCGAACGGAAAGGCCCUGCUUGCCGGGUCCUCGAGUGGCGAACGGGUGAGUAACCCGUGGGUGCUCUGCCCUUCACUUCGGGUUAAGCCUGGGAAACUUGGUCUCUUACCGGAUAGGAGCCAUCUUCAGUGUGAUGGUUGGAAAGUUUUUUCGGUGUAGGAUGAGUUCGGGGCCUAGAAGCUUGUUGGUGGGGUAAGGGCCUACCAAGGCAACGACGGGUAGCCGGCCGGGGAGGGGGGGCGGCCACAGUGGGACUGGGAUAGGGCCCAGACUCCUACGGGAGGGAGAAGGAGGGAAGGGUACACAAGGGGAGCAAGCCUGAUGCAGCGACGCCGCGGGGGGGAGGACGGCCUUCGGGUUAUAGACGCAUUUCGCUAGGGACGAAGCAGUUUGUGACGGUACCUAGAUAAGAAGCACCGGCUAACUACGUG